This 508-nucleotide ribosomal RNA is filed under the name uncultured bacterium. RNAcentral describes it as "partial 16S ribosomal RNA". The stretch from base 20 to 329 matches the Rfam family "Bacterial small subunit ribosomal RNA", at positions 47 to 358 of the family's 1533-position model. The record is from RNAcentral.
GACGAACGCUGGCGGCGUGCUUAACACAUGCAAGUCGAACGGAAAGGCCCUGCUUUUGUGGGGUGCUCGAGUGGCGAACGGGUGAGUAACACGUGAGUAACCUGCCCUUGACUUUGGGAUAACUUCAGGAAACUGGGGCUAAUACCGGAUAGGAGCUCCUGCUGCAUGGUGGGGGUUGGAAAGUUUCGGCGGUUGGGGAUGGACUCGCGGCUUAUCAGCUUGUUGGUGGGGUAGUGGCUUACCAAGGCUUUGACGGGUAGCCGGCCUGAGAGGGUGACCGGCAACGUGGGGAAGGGCCAGCGGCCAAGACGACGCGGGGGGGCAGAAGGGGAUGACUUGAAAAACGGGGCGGAGGGCUGGCGCGGCGCGGGGGGGUGUGGGAUGGCCGCCUGGGGGUGGGAAGCGGCUGGGGGAUGGGAGGAAGGGGGAGGAAGGGGAAGGGGUAAAGAACCACGGGCUAAAGAGUGGCAAGCAGCGGAGGUCAGAAUCGAAGAACAAACUUGGAAGC